GUGUUUGAGAUAUAAACCAGCCCGCUAGCUUCAGUUUUCGGUGUUAAAAUGACCUGCUAGUUAUUCACGAAUGCGCAGAACAUGUUUUUUGCCGGACUGCGACGACCUACCCCUACAGUGCAACCACAAACGUGAAGAUGUCUUAGUAACGUGGUGCAGCCAUUUUCGCCCGUCAGCGCCCAAAUUGAUUGCUGCAUCCAUUUCAUUCAUGGCUCCUAUACCUCCCUUGAGGAUUCAGCUCCGGCAGAGAGAGAUCAAGAGAGCAGGCAAAAUGACCAGUCAUCGAAACCUUCCUGGAAAACAAAGAUCUUUCCAAUCUAAUCACUAUUUUGAAGAAGAUAUAAAGUUGAUCAUUGAUAUCUAUCAAUAUACCUCUUGUAUGAAUACUGUUUUUUAAUUUACUGAUCAAGGGAUAAAAUAUAUUUCAGAUGACAUUUGAUGUAGUCUGUCAUUUUUCAAUGAGUAUAAGAGGAUAGUUACUCUAAUAUCAUACUGAUGUUACUCGGACAUGAUGUCCGUGUAACAUAGGUAACUGGAGGUGUUGAGGUGAAUAUAGACCAUAAAUCUUGCAGGUUUCCUUUCAAUUGUGUUAUCAUCUCAUUAAAUAUGUUUCAUGCAUCAAUUAAUUGGCACAUUUCAUGGAAUGUAGCCAAGAUUUUCUAUGCAAGAGAAAAGAUUACCCUUUAGAAAAAAACAUGAUCUGAAGAUUGCUAGUUCCUCAUUUGUUUCAUGUUUAUAAAUUGAUAUUAUGUUGCUGUGUUCAAGUUUUAAGUAUUCUAAACUAUUGCUCCCAUCAUCUAAAUGUUUUCCACACACAAAAAAGUGGAGUACAGACUGUGACAAAGUUUCAGAUCAGAAAAUAAAUGAGCAAGUAAAAAAA
Molecule: long non-coding RNA, 880 nt
Filed under: Strongylocentrotus purpuratus (purple sea urchin)
Lineage: Eukaryota; Metazoa; Echinodermata; Echinoidea; Camarodonta; Strongylocentrotidae
Description: uncharacterized LOC115924954
Source: RNAcentral